GCGGGUAUAUCUCAGUGGCAGAGUGUGUGCAUAGCGUGCACAAGGUCCUGAGUUCAAUCCCCAGUACCUCCA
Molecule: transfer RNA, 72 nt
Filed under: Camelus bactrianus (Bactrian camel)
Lineage: Eukaryota; Metazoa; Chordata; Mammalia; Artiodactyla; Camelidae
Also listed under: 2 other names
Rfam family: tRNA
About the family: Transfer RNA (tRNA) molecules are approximately 80 nucleotides in length. Their secondary structure includes four short double-helical elements and three loops (D, anti-codon, and T loops).
Source: Rfam by way of RNAcentral